This 440-nucleotide ribosomal RNA is filed under the name uncultured bacterium. RNAcentral describes it as "partial 16S ribosomal RNA". It matches the Rfam family "Bacterial small subunit ribosomal RNA", at positions 338 to 795 of the family's 1533-position model. The record is from RNAcentral.
CCUACGGGAGGCAGCAGUGGGGAAUAUUGCACAAUGGGGGAAACCCUGAUGCAGCAACGCCGCGUGAGUGAUGAAGGAUUUCGGUAUGUAAAGCUCUAUUAGCAGGGAAGAAAAUGACGGUACCUGACUAAGAAGCCCCGGCUAACUACGUGCCAGCAGCCGCGGUAAUACGUAGGGGGCAAGCGUUAUCCGGAUUUACUGGGUGUAAAGGGAGCGCAGACGGCAGUGCAAGUCUGGUGUGAAAGCCCGGGGCCCAACCCCGGAACUGCACUGGAAACUGUGCGGCUAGAGUACAGGAGGGGUAGGCGGAAUUCGUGGUGUAGCGGUGAAAUGCGUAGAUAUUAGGAGGAACACCAGUGGCGAAGGCGGCCUACUGGACAGUAACUGACGUUGAGGCUCGAAAGCGUGGGGAGCAAACAGGAUUAGAUACCCCAGUAGUC